GGGUAAUUUUCCGCAAUGGGCGCAAGCCUGACGGAGCAAGACCGCGUGAGGGAAGAAGGUCUGUGGAUUGUAAACCUCUUUUGAUAGGGAAGAAGACAGUGACGGUACCUAUCGAAUCAGCCUCGGCUAACUCCGUGCCAGCAGCCGCGGUAAUACGGAGGAGGCAAGCGUUAUCCGGAAUUAUUGGGCGUAAAGAGUCCGUAGGUGGGUAACCAAGUCAGCUGUUAAAUAGUGAAGCUUAACUUCAUAGAGGCGGCUGAAACUGGUUGUCUAGAGUGUGGUAGGGGUAGAGGGAAUUUCCAGUGUAGCGGUGAAAUGCGUAGAUAUUGGAAAGAACACCGGUGGCGAAAGCGCUCUACUGGGCCUGCACUGACACUGAGGGACGAAAGCUAGGGGAGCGAAAGGGAUUAGAUACCCCUGUAGUCCUAGCCGUAAACGAUGGAUACUAGGCGUUGCCCGUAUCGACCCGGGCAGUGUCGUAGCCAACGCGUUAAGUAUCC
This 500-nucleotide ribosomal RNA is filed under the name uncultured cyanobacterium. RNAcentral describes it as "bacterial SSU rRNA". It matches the Rfam family "Bacterial small subunit ribosomal RNA", at positions 356 to 869 of the family's 1533-position model. Lineage: Bacteria; Bacillati; Cyanobacteriota. The record is from RNAcentral.